This 301-nucleotide ribosomal RNA is filed under the name uncultured bacterium. RNAcentral's name for it is "partial 16S ribosomal RNA". It matches the Rfam family "Bacterial small subunit ribosomal RNA", at positions 512 to 808 of the family's 1533-position model. The record is from RNAcentral.
CAUAGCCGCGGUAAUACGGAGGAUCCAAGCGUUAUCCGGAAUCAUUGGGUUUAAAGGGUCCGUAGGCGGUCUUGUAAGUCAGUGGUGAAAGCCCAUCGCUCAACGGUGGAACGGCCAUUGAUACUGCAGGACUUGAAUUAUUGGGAAGUAACUAGAAUAUGUAGUGUAGCGGUGAAAUGCUUAGAGAUUACAUGGAAUACCAAUUGCGAAGGCAGGUUACUACCAAUUGAUUGACGCUGAUGGACGAAAGCGUGGGUAGCGAACAGGAUUAGAUACCCCCGUAGUCCCUGUCUCUUAUACC